GUGAGGAAUAUUGCGCAAUGGAGGCAACUCUGACGCAGCCAUGCCGCGUGCAGGAAGAAGGCGCUACGCGUUGUAAACUGCUUUUAACCGGGAAGAAACCCCAGGACGUGUCCUGGGUUGACGGUACCGGAGGAAUAAGCACCGGCUAACUUCGUGCCAGCAGCCGCGGUAAUACGAAGGGUGCAAGCGUUAUCCGGAUUCAUUGGGUUUAAAGGGUGCGUAGGCGGAGCGUUAAGUCAGUGGUGAAAUCCUGCAGCUUAACUGUAGACUUGCCAUUGAUACUGGCGCUCUUGAGUGCGCUUGAAGUGGGCGGAAUGUGCCGUGUAGCGGUGAAAUGCUUAGAUAUGGCACAGAACACCAAUUGCGAAGGCAGCUCACUAAGGCGAUACUGACGCUGAGGCACGAAAGCGUGGGGAUCUAACAGGAUUAGAAACCCGUGUAGUCC
RNAcentral lists this ribosomal RNA (445 nucleotides) under uncultured bacterium. RNAcentral's name for it is "partial 16S ribosomal RNA". It matches the Rfam family "Bacterial small subunit ribosomal RNA", at positions 354 to 796 of the family's 1533-position model. The record is from RNAcentral.